ACGGAAGGCAGCAGUGAGGAAUAUUGGUCAAUGGGCGGAAGCCUGAACCAGCCAAGUCGCGUGAAGGAAGAAGGUAUUAUGUAUUGUAAACUUCUUUAGCAGCAGAGUAAUAAGGGGGUCGAGACCUCCGAUGCAAGUAUGCUGAAAAUAAGGAUCGGCUAACUCCGUGCCAGCAGCCGCGGUAAUACGGAGGACCGAGCGUUAUCCGGAUUUAUUGGGUUUAAAGGGUGCGCAGGCGGCUUUUUAAGUCAGUGGUUAAAUCGUGAGGCUCAACCUCAUCACGCCAUUGAUACUGGAGAGCUUGAUUGCGGUUGAGGUUGGCGGAAUUCGUCGUGUAGCGGUGAAAUGCAUAGAUAUGACGAAGAACCCCGAUUGCGUAGGCAGCUGACCAAGCCGUAAAUGACGCUCAUGCACGAAAGUGCGGGGAUCGAACAGGAUUAGAUACCCUGGUA
RNAcentral lists this ribosomal RNA (452 nucleotides) under uncultured Porphyromonadaceae bacterium. RNAcentral describes it as "partial 16S ribosomal RNA". It matches the Rfam family "Bacterial small subunit ribosomal RNA", at positions 341 to 792 of the family's 1533-position model. Lineage: Bacteria; Pseudomonadati; Bacteroidota; Bacteroidia; Bacteroidales; Porphyromonadaceae. The record is from RNAcentral.